CAAAAAAUGGGUUUUGUAGCACUGUUCAUUAUACACAAAUGUAUUUAGUUACAUUAACACAUACACAUUUAUUUUUAAGACAAAAUACAAGUGUAAUGUGUUAUGCUAAAUCAAUUGGUUAUUCACUCUGGUUUACCUAACUACCUAUCUUUAAACUAAAGUAAUUGGUUUACUUUUGCGAUUCAAAUACCGGAUGUGACGUCAUUUAACGACUUCCACGCACGAAGACGGCGCGCAGGUGAUGGUGUUUCGGUCAUACCACAAUGACUUCUCCAGUCUGGCUAAAAGUUACAAAAGGUGAUCCUUCAGUAUGCCAUUCCUUCUUCAGUGAGUGACCUGUCAAAGGAAAUAGAAAAACAAUGUAAUCUACAAGGACAUUUAAGGAUGCAGUUCAUGGAUUCUGACUUGGCAAUUAGUUUUUAAGUGAAAUUAAAUUUACUCAAGCCCAAACCAGCUGGAAUUUCCAGUGCUGCUUACCAUAUAAAAAAAAACAUGCAACGCUGAGGUCAACUACUGCCCUUACCAUCCACAAACGGAGACAUCCAAAACACUGGAAGUAGACUCAGGAGACAUGAGGUUGUCAAGGAAUCGCCUUCAAAAGCAGAUUUCAAAACUAGAUGGCCUACUCUUUUCAGAAGGGAAGAGAUUUGUGCAGAGUUUUAAAGAAUCGCAACAGCCACAUUGGUGUCUACAUACUUGGCGAAGAUGGAUCAAUAUUCUGCAAAGCUUAUAAGGAUCUAUGCAAAACGAGGAGUCGUCAAUUGACCGAGAAUUAAAAACCUGCUGGUUUCCACAACACGGACUGACUGACACAUUGAUCAGACUCCGAUCUUUCUUUGUCUACCUGAAUGAAGACCUGACCAGUCUAAUUAAAGAGUAUUUGGAUACAGAUGCACCCAGUACCCAGGAGGCGAUCCAGAAGAUGGUGAUGGGAGUCCUUGUUGUAAAAAUGUAUGGUUCAGACAUCGAAGACAGCCCAGCAGAUGUUGGAGUGUUAUUGAAGGGAUUAAGAGUUCUUGGACCUCAACAACAUUGUGUAUGCGACAACCAUGCUGAUGGGACUGAUAUAUGCACUGAACUUGAGCUACUUUCCUGAAUUCAGGUACACUUUUGAAGUAUUGCAGUUGUUGUUUCUGGAGCUAGAUGGGAAGUAACUAUCUCAUAAAGUUCAGACGCUGAAGACCAAGCCUUUUGCAGAUGUUUUGAGGAAGGAAUGUUGUAAUAUUUCAUAUGUAAAUGCCCUGUUUUUGAAAUGGAGUUUUCGUGCAUUUCAUUUGUCAGUAACUGUAAAAAAAAUUGUAAUGUUGUUAU
Misgurnus anguillicaudatus (oriental weatherfish) is the source of this 1311-nucleotide non-coding RNA. The record is from RefSeq and is a predicted model, not a curated record. Lineage: Eukaryota; Metazoa; Chordata; Actinopteri; Cypriniformes; Cobitidae.